This 1998-nucleotide ribosomal RNA is filed under the name metagenome. RNAcentral describes it as "bacterial LSU rRNA". It matches the Rfam family "Bacterial large subunit ribosomal RNA", at positions 446 to 2533 of the family's 2925-position model. The record is from RNAcentral.
GGGGGGACCACCCUCCAACCCUAAAUACUACCCAGUGACCGAUAGCGUAUAGUACUGUGAAGGAAAGGUGAAAAGCACCCCGGGAGGGGAGUGAAAAAGAACCUGAAACCCUGUGCCUACAAGCACCUAGAGCACGUCAAAGUGUGAUAGGGUACUUUUUGUAGAACGGUCCGGCGAGCGAUUGUAUGCAGCAAGGUUAAGGACUUAAGGUCUGGAGCCGAAGCGAAAGCGAGUUUGAAAAGGGCGUUAAGUUGCAUAUAAUGGGCCCGAAACCGGGUGACCUACCCAUGGUCAGGUUGAAGUGGAAGUAAAAUUCCAUGGAGGACCGAACCGACCUCCGUUGAAAAGGCGGCGGAUGAACUGUGGGUAGCGGAGAAAUUCCAAUCGAACCCGGAGAUAGCUGGUUCUCCCCGAAAUAGUUUUAGGACUAGCCUCAAGUUAGAUACCUGGAGGUAAAGCACUGAAUAGCCUAGCGGCCGAGAGGUUAGCGAAGCUUAUCAAACUCAGAAUGCCAGAGUAUUGAUGCUUGGGAGUCAGACAGUGUCAGAUAAAUGUCAUUGUCAAAAGGGAAACAGCCCAGAUCUACAGCUAAGGUCCCAAAGUCAGGUUAAGUGGAAAACGAUGUGAAGAUACGCAGACAACCAGGAUGUUGGCUCAGAAGCAGCCACUCAUUCAAAGAGUGCGUAAUAGCUCACUGGUCGAGCGUCUUUGCGCGGAGAAUUUAACGGGGCUAAACCUGACACCGAAGCUUAGGCAAUCCAGCAAUGGAUUGGGUAGGGGAGCGUUGUAUACGCGGAGAAACAGUAGCGUAAGCGGCUGUGGAGUGUAUAGAAGUGAGAAUGCCGGAAUGAGUAGCGCGAAUGCAGUGAGAAUCUGCAUGGCCGAAAGCCUCAGGUUUUUGGAGGAAGGUUCGUCCGCUCCAAGUUAGUCGGGAGCUAAGGUGAGGCCGGAAGGCGUAGCCGAUGCACAGACGGUAGAGAUUCCGUCACCACCGAAAGAGUUAAGCACAGGGACACAUUUGAAGUCUCAGAGCCGGGUGUUGGUUCCGGUAGAGAUCGAGGGAAAUUAGUACCGAAGUCUGGGAUGGAAGAUGGCGAGAAAAGCUGUGUGUAUUUCUGAGGUGCCCGUACCGCAAACCGACACAGGUAGGUAGGAAGAAGAUUCUAAGGCCAACGGGAGAAGGGUUGUUAAGGAACUCGGCAAAUUGACCCCGUAACUUCGGGAGAAGGGGUGCUCCAGAGAUGGAGCCGCAGAGAAUCGGCCCAAGCAACUGUUUACCAAAAACACAGGUUUGUGCUAAAUCGAAAGAUGACGUAUACGAGCUGACGCCUGCCCGGUGCUGGAAGGUUAAGAGGAGAUGUGCAAGCAUUGAAUCGAAGCCCCAGUGAACGGCGGCCGUAACUAUAACGGUCCUAAGGUAGCGAAAUUCCUUGUCAGGUAAGUUCUGACCCGCAUGAAAGGCGUAAUGAUUUGGGCACUGUCUCAACAGCCCGCCCGGCGAAAUUGUAGUACCGGUGAAGAUGCCGGUUACCCGCGACAAGACGGAAAGACCCCAUGGAGCUUUACUGUAGCCUAAUAUUGGGUUUCGAUGUUGCAUGCACAGGAUAGAUGGGACACUGGGAAACAAUCGCUUUGGCGGUUGCGGAGUGGCCGUUGGGAUACCAUCCUUGCGAUAUUGGAAUUCUAACCUGCGGCUCUGAAUCGAGUCGGGGGACAUUGUUAGGUGGGCAGUUUGACUGGGGCGGUCGCCUCCUAAAAAGUAACGGAGGCGUUCAAAGGUUCGCUCAGCUUGAACGGAAAUCAAGCAAAAGAGUGCAAACGCAGAAGCGAGCCUAACUGCGAGACUGACGGGUCGAGCAGUAACGAAAGUUGGAGUUAGUGAUCCGGUGGUAUGUGAGUGGAAAUGCCAUCGCUCAACGGAUAAAAGUUACCCUGGGGAUAACAGGCUGAUCUCCCCCAAGAGUCCACAUCGACGGGGAGGUUUGGCACCUCGAUGUC